RNAcentral lists this ribosomal RNA (117 nucleotides) under Corynebacterium sp. RNAcentral also lists the same sequence under 1 other name. The record is from RNAcentral. Lineage: Bacteria; Bacillati; Actinomycetota; Actinomycetes; Mycobacteriales; Corynebacteriaceae.
GUCGGUGGCAACAGCGGCGGGGAAACGCCCGGACCCAUCCCGAACCCGGAAGCUAAGCCCACCAGCGCCAAUGGUACUGCACACGGCAGUGUGUGGGAGAGUAGGACACCGCCGACA